UACGUAGGGUGCGAGCGUUAAUCGGAAUUACUGGGCGUAAAGCGUGCGCAGGCGGUUUUGUAAGACAGAUGUGAAAUCCCCCGGCUUAACCUGGGGACUGCCUUUGUGACUGCAAGACUAGAGUGCGGCAGAGGGGGGUGGAAUUCCACGUGUAGCAGUGAAAUGCGUAGAUAUGUGGAGGAAUACCGAUGGCGAAGGCAGCCCCCUGGGUCGACGCUGACGCUCAUGCACGAAAGCGUGGGGAGCAAACAGG
This 253-nucleotide ribosomal RNA is filed under the name uncultured bacterium. RNAcentral describes it as "partial 16S ribosomal RNA". It matches the Rfam family "Bacterial small subunit ribosomal RNA", at positions 524 to 776 of the family's 1533-position model. The record is from RNAcentral.